CUGCUGCUGCUGUUGUUGUUGUCGUCGUUGCUGUAGCUGUAGCUGUUGCUGUAGCUGUUGCUGUCGUUGUUGUUCCCGAUACCGUAUUAGAUUACUUACAUAGCUGUUGUUCCUAACUGUUGCUCCACCGGCAGGAUUUAAAUUUGAAUCAGCGAUAGCCACACCGGCACCCGCAGCGGCAGCGGCAGUUGGAGAUGGUGGAGCAGCAACAGGUGCACCAACCGGCGCAGUGCACAGCGGACAUAGACAGCAGUCGUUGGGU
Non-coding RNA from Seminavis robusta, 262 nucleotides. Lineage: Eukaryota; Bacillariophyta; Bacillariophyceae; Naviculales; Naviculaceae. The record is from the annotation of a GenBank genome assembly.